RNAcentral lists this long non-coding RNA (1181 nucleotides) under Meleagris gallopavo (turkey). RNAcentral's name for it is "lncRNA (ENSMGAG00000020471.1)". The record is from RNAcentral. Lineage: Eukaryota; Metazoa; Chordata; Aves; Galliformes; Phasianidae.
CUGUGAACACAGCAGGGUCUAGUAGGAAUGUGUUUGCUUACUGGAACUUAGGGGCAGGCAAUGGUUCUUGUUGUCUGAGAUGUAACUUGACAUCCUUUAUGGCACCAAUCUCAGAGCUUUCCCUUUGUAGGCGAUCCAGCUGUACUUGUAGGUCUCUUGGAGACCAGAGUACAUACAAUUGUCUGGCCUCAUGAGGUAUUUCUCAUGGCUCAGAGAGCAUGACUUCAAUGCAGUAUAAAGUUGACUUUGCAUCGACUUGCAUUGAUAAACAUUGAUUAAAAGGCCUCAUUUUAAAGUACUGUCCUGUUGUGGCAAAAUCUUGCUAGAAGUCCUGUGAAGCUGUCAAGAUCUGAUGAGUUGUAAGGAUUUUUGCACUGUUUAACAAAGAAAUAUCAUGGACCGUGAGGACUGAGUUGCAGUGUAAAUAUUUUGAAUUUGUGAUCAUUGGCUUUUGCACUUGAAACAAACAGAAGUGAUGUGUGAAGGAAAGAAACUUUUUUUUUUUCUAUUUUUUNNUUUUUCUGGUCUCAUUUAUGACUUAUUUAAAUUACCUACUGUUCAUAACUCAGCUGGGGGAGCUCAUGAGGGAAAAUUGUAGGAUGAAAGUAACUUCCCUCUGAACAAGAGAGAAUGUAGAUUUCAAUAAGAAAUGCUAAUCUAAAAGUGAGUAAUUUUCUUUUAAAAGCCAGGAAGAUAAAGAAACCAAGAACAAAUAAAACAGGUAACAGAGUUUAAAUGUCUUUCCAAAAAUUGCACAUUAUGAAGCUAUGAAAAAAACCUGGGAAUAAUUUCUUCAAUGAUUCGCUUUUUGUUGUUGUUGAAAGCAUCCACAGUUAGUCCCUAGUACACUUUUGAAAGGAAGGUAGAUGUCAUAUAGGAGAUAUCAAAAGGAGAUCAAUGAAAUGUAGUACAUUUUAGUCAGUUUUCCAGAAUGCUGAUGUAAUAUUGGGAACUUGUGUGUUUUCCCAUCUGUUUUUUUGUUUGUUUCUUUGUUUGCUUUUCCUGCUGUGAUGAAUACAAAUGGUUUUACCUGCAUAGCUGAUAGAAAAUUUACUUAGGAUUACAUAGUAGGUUUCAAACUUAUCAUCUCUGAAGAACCCUGUGAUCAUUUGAGAAAUAGCUGGCUGUUACUUUGAACUAUCUUUAAUAACCUGAUUUUCUUUUUAAAACAGAAGUAGGAA